This 253-nucleotide ribosomal RNA is filed under the name uncultured bacterium. RNAcentral's name for it is "partial 16S ribosomal RNA". It matches the Rfam family "Bacterial small subunit ribosomal RNA", at positions 524 to 776 of the family's 1533-position model. The record is from RNAcentral.
GACGUAGGGCGCGAGCGUUGUCCGGAUUUAUUGGGCGUAAAGAGCUCGUAGGCGGCUUGUCGCGUCGUCCGUGAAAACCCACAGCUCAACUGUGGGCUUGCGGUCGAUACGGGCAGGCUCGAGUUCGGUAGGGGAGACUGGAAUUCCUGGUGUAGCGGUGAAAUGCGCAGAUAUCAGGAGGAACACCGGUGGCGAAGGCGGGUCUCUGGGCCGAUACUGACGCUGAGGAGCGAAAGCGUGGGGAGCGAACAGG